RNAcentral lists this ribosomal RNA (253 nucleotides) under uncultured bacterium. RNAcentral describes it as "partial 16S ribosomal RNA". It matches the Rfam family "Bacterial small subunit ribosomal RNA", at positions 524 to 776 of the family's 1533-position model. The record is from RNAcentral.
UACAGAGGGGGCAAGCGUUAUUCGGAAUUAUUGGGCGUAAAGGGCGCGUAGGCGGCCUGGCAAGUGGAAGGUGAAAUCCCUCGGCUUAACCGAGGAACUGCCCUCCAAACUGCUUGGCUUGAGACCGGGAGAGGUGAGUGGAAUUCCCAGUGCAGCGGUGAAAUGCGUAGAUAUUGGGAGGAACACCAGUGGCGAAGGCGGCUCACUGGACCGGUACUGACGCUGAGGCGCGAAAGCGUGGGGAGCAAACAGG